RNAcentral lists this ribosomal RNA (259 nucleotides) under uncultured Alphaproteobacteria bacterium. RNAcentral describes it as "partial 16S ribosomal RNA". It matches the Rfam family "Bacterial small subunit ribosomal RNA", at positions 84 to 360 of the family's 1533-position model. Lineage: Bacteria; Pseudomonadati; Pseudomonadota; Alphaproteobacteria. The record is from RNAcentral.
CCUUCGGGCAAGCGGCGGUACGGGUUAGUAACGCGUGGGUAACGUACCCUUCUCUAAGGAAUAGCCUUGGGAAACUGAGAGUAAUACCUUAUACGCCCUUUGGGGGAAAGAUUUAUCGGGGAAGGAUCGGCCCGCGUCUGAUUAGAUAGUUGGUGGGGUAAUGGCCUACCAAGUCUACGAUCAGUAGCUGGUUUGAGAGGAUGAUCAGCAACACUGGGACUGAGACACGGCCAGACUCCUACGGGAGGCACAGUGGGGA